AAUUCACUAGUGAUUUUCCGGUUGAUCCUUGCCGGAGGUCACUGCUAUCGGGGUUCGAUUAAGCCAUGCGAGUCGAGAGGGUUCGGCCCUCGGCGUACUGCUCAGUAACACGUGGAUAACCUGCCCUAAGGAAGGGAAUACCCCCGGGAAACUGGGGAUAAUGCCCUAUAGGUUACCGAUGCUGGAAUGCUCGGUAACCGAAAGUUCCGGCGCCUUAGGAUGGAUCUGCGGCCGAUUAGGUUGUUGUCGGGGUAACGGCCCAACAAGCCGAUAAUCGGUACGGGUUGUGGGAGCAAGAGCCCGGAGUUGGAUUCUGAGACACGAAUCCAGGCCCUACGGGGCGCAGCAGGCGCGAAAACUUUACGAUGCGGGCAACCGUGAUAAGGGAACCUCGAGUGCCUGUAUAUGCAGGCUGUCCAGGUGUCUAAAACACACCUGAAGAAAGGGCCGGGCAAGACCGGUGCCAGCCGCCGCGGUAAUACCGGCGGCUCGAGUGGUGGCCACUUUUAUUGGGCUUAAAGCGUUCGUAGCUGGGUCGUUAAGUCUCUUGGGAAAUCCGGCAGCUUAACUGUCGGGCGUCUAAGAGAUACUGGCGAUCUUGGAACCGGGAGAGGUGAGGGGUACUUCAGGGGUAGGAGUGSAAAUCCUGUAAUCCUUGAGGGACCACCUGUGGCGAAGGCGCCUCACCAGAACGGCUUCGACAGUGAGGGACGAAAGCUGGGGGAGCAAACCGGACUAGAUACCCGGGUAGUCCCAGCCGUAAACGAUGUGCGUUAGGUGUAUCGAUGACCACGAGUCAUCGAGGUGCCGAAGGGAAACCGUGAAACGUACCGCCUGGGAAGUACGGUCGCAAGGCUGAAACUUAAAGGAAUUGGCGGGGGAGCACCACAACAGG
This 895-nucleotide ribosomal RNA is filed under the name methanogenic archaeon CT3. RNAcentral describes it as "bacterial SSU rRNA". It matches the Rfam family "Archaeal small subunit ribosomal RNA", at positions 1 to 888 of the family's 1478-position model. Lineage: Archaea; Methanobacteriati; Methanobacteriota; Methanomicrobia; Methanomicrobiales. The record is from RNAcentral.